GUACCUUUGGGAACAUUCGAUAAAACUGGAACGAUACAGAGAUGAUUAGCAUGACCCCUGUGCAAGGAUGACACGCACAAAUAGAGAAAUAGUUCAAACUUUU
This is a small nuclear RNA of Solanum stenotomum, 103 nucleotides long. Lineage: Eukaryota; Viridiplantae; Streptophyta; Magnoliopsida; Solanales; Solanaceae. The record is from RefSeq and is a predicted model, not a curated record.